Molecule: ribosomal RNA, 253 nt
Filed under: uncultured bacterium
Lineage: Bacteria
Description: partial 16S ribosomal RNA
Rfam family: Bacterial small subunit ribosomal RNA
Source: RNAcentral
UACAGGGGGUGCAAACGUUGCUCGGAAUCAUUGGGCGUAAAGCGCGUGUAGGCGGCCGUGCAAGUCGGGUGUGAAAGCCCUCGGCUCAACCGAGGAAGUGCGCCCGAAACUGCAUGGCUUGAGUACCGGAGAGGAUGGCGGAAUUCCCCAAGUAGAGGUGAAAUUCGUAGAUAUGGGGAGGAACACCGGUGGCGAAGGCGGCCAUCUGGACGGAUACUGACGCUGAGACGCGAAAGCGUGGGGAGCAAACAGG